RNAcentral lists this unclassified non-coding RNA (328 nucleotides) under soil metagenome. RNAcentral's name for it is "partial contains 5.8S ribosomal RNA, internal transcribed spacer 2, and large subunit ribosomal RNA". The stretch from base 1 to 120 matches the Rfam family "5.8S ribosomal RNA", at positions 35 to 154 of the family's 154-position model. The record is from RNAcentral.
GAUGAAGAACGUAGCGAAAUGCGAUAAGUAAUGUGAAUUGCAGAAUUCAGUGAAUCAUCGAAUCUUUGAACGCACAUUGCGCCCCUUGGUAUUCCGAGGGGCAUGCCUGCUCGAGCGUCAUUAUAACCCCUCAAGCUCAGCUUGGUGUUGGGGCCUGCUGCACUGGCAGCCCUUAAAAUCAGUGGCGGCGCCAUCUGGCUCUAAGCGUAGUAAUUCUUCUCGCUAUGGAGUCCUGGUGGAUGCUUGCCAUCAACCCCCAAUUUUUCUAUGGUUGACCUCGGAUCAGGUAGGGAUACCCGCUGAACUUAAGCAUAUCAUAAGCGGAGGA